AGAGUUGAUCAUGGCUCAGGAUGAACGCUGGCGGCGUGCCUAACACAUGCAAGUCGAGCGAGACUCCGGCAGAAGAGACUUCGGUUAAAUCAGUCGGACGAUAGCGGCGGACGGGUGAGUAACGCGUAGGCAAUCUGCCCCGUACAGAGGGAUAGCCGUUGGAAACGACGAGUAAGACCUCAUGAUGCAGCACUUUCACAUGGGAGAGCUGCCAAAGAUUUAUCGGUAUGGGAUGAGCCUGCGUCUGAUUAGCUGGUUGGUGAGGUAACGGCCCACCAAGGCGACGAUCAGUAGCCGGCCUGAGAGGGUGUACGGCCACACUGGGACUGAGACACGGCCCAGACUCCUACGGGAGGCAGCAGUAGGGAAUAUUGCGCAAUGGACGGAAGUCUGACGCAGCGACGCCGCGUGAGGGACGAAGGCCUUCGGGUUGWAAACCUMUGUCUGGGGGGAUGAGAACGGACGGUACCCCCGGAGGAAGCCCCGGCUAACUACGUGCCAGCAGCCGCGGUAAUACGUAGGGGGCUAGCGUUGUCCGGAAUUACUGGGCGUAAAGGGCGUGUAGGCGGUCGUGCAAGUCGGUUGUGAAAGUCUAGGGCUCAACUCUAGGAUGCCGAUCGAAACUGCAUGGCUUGAGGGCAAGAGAGGGAAGCGGAAUUCCCGGUGUAGCGGUGAAAUGCGKAGAUAUCGGGAGGAACACCAGUGGCGAAGGCGGCUUCCUGGAUUGCACCUGACGCUGAGGCGCGAAAG
RNAcentral lists this ribosomal RNA (750 nucleotides) under uncultured Bacillota bacterium. RNAcentral describes it as "bacterial SSU rRNA". It matches the Rfam family "Bacterial small subunit ribosomal RNA", at positions 8 to 759 of the family's 1533-position model. Lineage: Bacteria; Bacillati; Bacillota. The record is from RNAcentral.